AGUGAACGCUGGCGGUAGGCCUAACACAUGCAAGUCGAACGGCAGCACAGGAGAGCUUGCUCUCUAGGUGGCGAGUGGCGGACGGGUGAGGAAUACAUCGGAAUCUGCCCAGUCGUGGGGGAUAACGUAGGGAAACUUACGCUAAUACCGCAUACGACCUUCGGGUGAAAGAGGGGGAUCGCAAGACCUCUCGCGAUUGGAUGAGCCGAUGUCGGAUUAGCUAGUUAGCGGGGUAAUGGCCCACCAAGGCGACGAUCCGUAGCUGGUCUGAGAGGAUGAUCGGCAACACUGGAACUGAGACACGGUCCAGACUCCUACGGGAGGCAGCAGUGGGGAAUGUUGGACAAGGGGCGCAAGCCUGAUGCAGCAAUGCCGGGUAGGUGAAGAAGGCCUGCGGGUUGUAAAGCCGGUUUAUUGGGAAAAAAAACUUGGAGGCGAAAACCCUGGGAGGGUGACGGUACCCAAAGAGUAAGCAACGGCUAACUUCGUG
This 490-nucleotide ribosomal RNA is filed under the name uncultured bacterium. Its description in RNAcentral is "partial 16S ribosomal RNA". It matches the Rfam family "Bacterial small subunit ribosomal RNA", at positions 30 to 507 of the family's 1533-position model. The record is from RNAcentral.